RNAcentral lists this transfer RNA (74 nucleotides) under Eggerthellaceae bacterium. Its description in RNAcentral is "tRNA-Gln". It matches the Rfam family "tRNA". From Rfam's summary of the family: Transfer RNA (tRNA) molecules are approximately 80 nucleotides in length. Their secondary structure includes four short double-helical elements and three loops (D, anti-codon, and T loops). Further hydrogen bonds mediate the characteristic L-shaped molecular structure. tRNAs have two regions of fundamental functional importance: the anti-codon, which is responsible for specific mRNA codon recognition, and the 3' end, to which the tRNAs corresponding amino acid is attached (by aminoacyl-tRNA synthetases). tRNAs cope with the degeneracy of the genetic code in two manners: having more than one tRNA (with a specific anti-codon) for a particular amino acid; and 'wobble' base-pairing, i.e. permitting non-standard base-pairing at the 3rd anti-codon position. The record is from RNAcentral. RNAcentral also lists the same sequence under 3 other names. Lineage: Bacteria; Bacillati; Actinomycetota; Coriobacteriia; Eggerthellales; Eggerthellaceae.
UGGGGUGUCGUAUAAUGGCAGUACAACGGAUUCUGGUUCCGUCUGUGAGGGUUCGACUCCUUCCACCCCAGCCA